Molecule: ribosomal RNA, 1263 nt
Filed under: Spinolyprops cribricollis
Lineage: Eukaryota; Metazoa; Arthropoda; Insecta; Coleoptera; Tenebrionidae
Description: 16S ribosomal RNA
Rfam family: Archaeal large subunit ribosomal RNA (bases 1024-1182)
Source: RNAcentral
AGAUAUAUAAUUAUUUUUUUUAUAAGGUUUUAACUGAUUAUAUAAAGAAUUGAUGUGUUUUAAUAAAAUUUUUUUUAUUAUAGAUUACAGUAAUGUGAAUGAAAAGUUUUAAUUGUUAAUAAGAAUAAUUUAUUUUUAGUACCUUGUGUAUCAGGGUUGAUUAAAUUAAAGGGAUUUAUUUAUUUUUUUCUCGAAACUUUAAGAGUUAAUUUUUAAUAAAUUUUAUUGUUGAAUAAAUAUUUAAAAUUAAAAAUUGGAAAUGAAAAGUUAUUCGUUUAAAGUAUAUCUAGUUUUUUCAAAUAAAAUUUAAUUUUAUUGAUUAGGACUAAGUUUUUAAUUUUUUAUAGUUUUGUAUAAUCAAGUUAAUAAUAAAGGGAUAAGCUUUUAUUAAUUUUAUAAUUUUUAGGUUUUAAUAUGAAUUAUAUGAUUAGAAUUUUUAAUUUUUAAAAUUAUGUUUCAAUAAAUCAUGUUUAUUAUAAAAUUUAAUUGUAUUUUAAAUGUUUUAUGAAAAUUAAUAAUUGAAUGAAAAUUUUUUUGUAUUAAUGAUUAAAUUAGUAUAUAUUUAAUGUUUAAAUAUUUGGAUAAAUUUAAGAUUAAGUUAAGGAAUUCGGCAAAUAAAUUUUCACCUGUUUAUUAAAAACAUGUCUUUUUGAAAUUUAUUUAAAGUCUGGCCUGCCCUCUGAGUAAUUGAAUGGCCGCAGUAUUUUGACUGUGCAAAGGUAGCAUAAUCAUUAGUUUUUUAAUUGAGAGCUGGAAUGAAGGGUUUGAUGAAAAAUUAGCUGUCUAAAUUUAAUAAAUAAAAUUUUAAUUUUAAGUGAAAAUGCUUAAAUUUUAAAUAAAGACGAGAAGACCCUAUAGAGUUUUAUAGUUUUUAUUUUUGUUAAUUAAUGGAAGAGGAUUUGAAAAGAGUAAAGAUUAUUUGAUUGGGGUGAUUUUAAAAUUUUAUAAACUUUUAAAUUAUUAUUACAUUAAUUUAUGAAUAAUUGAUCUUUAUUUUUGAUUAUUAGAAUAAAUUACCUUAGGGAUAACAGCGUAAUUUUCUUUAAAAGUUCAUAUUGAAAGGAAAGAUUGCGACCUCGAUGUUGGAUUAAAGUUAAGUUAAGGUGUAGAAGCUUUAAUAUUAGGUCUGUUCGACCUUUAAAACUUUACAUGAUCUGAGUUUAGACCGGUGUGAGCCAGGUCGGAUUCUAUCUUGUUUAAAAAUAAAUUUAUUAGUACGAAAGGACCAUGAAUUUAAAUUAUAUUUUUUUUUUGAAUAUUAAU